CUGGAGGACAGGUGGCUGCAUGGCUGUCGUCAGCUCGUGUCGUGAGAUGUUGGGUUAAGUACCCGCAACGAGCGCAACCCUUGCCUUUAGUUGCCAGCAGUUCGGCUGGGCACUCUAAAGGGACUGCCGGUGUUAAACCGGAGGAAGGUGGGGAUGACGUCAAGUCCUCAUGGCCUUUAUGACCAGGGCUACACACGUACUACAAUGGCCGAUACAAAGGGCAGCGACACUGCGAGGUGAAGCCAAUCCCGUAAAAUCGGUCUCAGUCCGGAUUGGAGUCUGCAACUCGACUCCAUGAAGUUGGAAUCGCUAGUAAUCGUGGAUCAGCAUGCCACGGUGAAUACGUUCCCGGGCCUU
This 357-nucleotide ribosomal RNA is filed under the name uncultured Desulfobulbus sp. RNAcentral's name for it is "bacterial SSU rRNA". It matches the Rfam family "Bacterial small subunit ribosomal RNA", at positions 1027 to 1382 of the family's 1533-position model. Lineage: Bacteria; Pseudomonadati; Thermodesulfobacteriota; Desulfobulbia; Desulfobulbales; Desulfobulbaceae. The record is from RNAcentral.